RNAcentral lists this ribosomal RNA (253 nucleotides) under uncultured bacterium. Its description in RNAcentral is "partial 16S ribosomal RNA". It matches the Rfam family "Bacterial small subunit ribosomal RNA", at positions 524 to 776 of the family's 1533-position model. The record is from RNAcentral.
UACGGGGGGGGCAAGCGUUGUUCGGAAUUACUGGGCGUAAAGGGCUCGUAGGUGGCCAACUAAGUCAGACGUGAAAUCCCUCGGCUUAACCGGGGAACUGCGUCUGAUACUGGAUGGCUAGAGAUUGGGAGAGGGAUGCGGAAUUCCAGGUGUAGCGGUGAAAUGCGUAGAUAUCUGGAGGAACACCGAUGGCGAAGGCAGCCCCCUGGGCUAGUACUGACGCUCAUGCACGAAAGCGUGGGGAGCAAACAGG